RNAcentral lists this ribosomal RNA (534 nucleotides) under uncultured bacterium. RNAcentral describes it as "partial 16S ribosomal RNA". It matches the Rfam family "Bacterial small subunit ribosomal RNA", at positions 355 to 883 of the family's 1533-position model. The record is from RNAcentral.
UGGGGAAUUUUGGACAAUGGGCGAAGCCUGAUCCAGCAAUGCCGCGUGUGUGAAGAAGGCCUUCGGGUUGUAAAGCACUUUUGUCCGGAAAGAAAUCCUUGGCUCUAAUACAGUCGGGGGAUGACGGUACCGGAAGAAUAAGCACCGGCUAACUACGUGCCAGCAGCCGCGGUAAUACGUAGGGUGCAAGCGUUAAUCGGAAUUACUGGGCGUAAAGCGUGCGCAGGCGGUUUGCUAAGACCGAUGUGAAAUCCCCGGGCUCAACCUGGGAACUGCAUUGGUGACUGGCAGGCUAGAGUAUGGCAGAGGGGGGUAGAAUUCCACGUGUAGCAGUGAAAUGCGUAGAGAUGUGGAGGAAUACCGAUGGCGAAGGCAGCCCCCUGGGCCAAUACUGACGCUCAUGCACGAAAGCGUGGGGAGCAAACAGGAUUAGAUACCCUGGGUAGUCCACGCCCUAAACGAUGUCAACUAGUUGUUGGGGAUUCAUUUCCUUAGUAACUAGCUAACGCGUGAAGUUGACCGCCUGGGGAGUAC